UACGUAGGGUGCGAGCGUUGUCCGGAAUUAUUGGGCGUAAAGAGCUCGUAGGCGGUGUGUCGCGUCGGCCGUGAAAACCUGCAGCUUAACUGUGGGCUUGCGGUCGAUACGGGCAUCACUGGAGUUCGGGAGAGGGAUGCGGAAUUCCAGGUGUAGCGGUGAGAUGCGUAGAUAUCUGGAGGAACACCGGUGGCGAAGGCGGCAUCCUGGACCGACACUGACGCUGAGGAGCGAAAGCCAGGGGAGCAAACGGG
This 254-nucleotide ribosomal RNA is filed under the name uncultured bacterium. RNAcentral's name for it is "partial 16S ribosomal RNA". It matches the Rfam family "Bacterial small subunit ribosomal RNA", at positions 524 to 776 of the family's 1533-position model. The record is from RNAcentral.